This 864-nucleotide ribosomal RNA is filed under the name Microbacterium sp. HPC408. RNAcentral's name for it is "bacterial SSU rRNA". It matches the Rfam family "Bacterial small subunit ribosomal RNA", at positions 25 to 907 of the family's 1533-position model. The record is from RNAcentral. Lineage: Bacteria; Bacillati; Actinomycetota; Actinomycetes; Micrococcales; Microbacteriaceae.
CGGAAAAAACGGCUGGGCGGGCGUGCUUAGCAAUGCAAGUCGCUAGGUGAACAAAGGAGCUUGCUCUGUGGGAUCAGUGGCGAACGGGUGAGUAACACGUGAGCAACCUGCCCCUGACUCUGGGAUAAGCGCUGGAAACGGCGUCUAAUACUGGAUAUGUGACGUGACCGCAUGGUCUGCGUUUGGAAAGAUUUUUCGGUUGGGGAUGGGCUCGCGGCCUAUCAGCUUGUUGGUGAGGUAAUGGCUCACCAAGGCGUCGACGGGUAGCCGGCCUGAGAGGGUGACCGGCCACACUGGGACUGAGACACGGCCCAGACUCCUACGGGAGGCAGCAGUGGGGAAUAUUGCACAAUGGGCGAAAGCCUGAUGCAGCAACGCCGCGUGAGGGAUGACGGCCUUCGGGUUGUAAACCUCUUUUAGCAGGGAAGAAGCGAAAGUGACGGUACCUGCAGAAAAAGCGCCGGCUAACUACGUGCCAGCAGCCGCGGUAAUACGUAGGGCGCAAGCGUUAUCCGGAAUUAUUGGGCGUAAAGAGCUCGUAGGCGGUUUGUCGCGUCUGCUGUGAAAUCCCGAGGCUCACCCUCGGGCCUGCAGUGGGUACGGGCAAACUAGAGUGCGGGUAGGGGAGAUUGGAAUUCCUGGUGUAGCGGUGGAAUGCGCAGAUAUCAGGAGGAACACCGAUGGGCGAAGGAGAUCUCUGGGCCGUAACUGACGCUGAGAGCGAAAGGGUGGGGAACAAAAAGCUUAAUACCCUGGUUAUCCACCCGUAACGUUGGGAACUAGUGUGGGGUCCCAUUCCCGGAUUCGUGACGCCUACGCAUUAAUUCCCGCCUGGGAGAUACCGCCGCAGCUAAACCUCAAGAA